RNAcentral lists this ribosomal RNA (2112 nucleotides) under Limacella glischra. The record is from RNAcentral. Lineage: Eukaryota; Fungi; Basidiomycota; Agaricomycetes; Agaricales; Amanitaceae.
AUGAAGAAAUGUACAGUUUUUAUUUAAUUCUAUUCUAAAUAUUAAUCUUUUGGUAACAAUAGAUAAUAUUAGAGAUAAAGAAUCAAGUAUAGUUUGGUGACACAGAAUCGGAGGCCCCGACUGUUUACUAAAAACACAACACAGUGCAAUCAUUAAUGUGGGAGUAUACUGUGUGAAAUUUGCCCGAUGCCAUUAAUAUAAAAGCGGUCAUGGUAAUCUGUGACUAAUUGAAAAUCUGGUUAAUAGCGGUCUUAACUAUGAGGAUCCUAAGGUAGCAAAAUAAAUUGGCCAUUAAAUGUGGUCCGGUAUCAAUAAUGUAACGAUGGCCUCACUGUCUCUACAACUUGCUCAGUGAAAUUGAAUUACGCGUGCAGAUGCGCGUUACCUCCAGGGGGACGGGAAAUUUAAAUACCUUGGAUGGUAAAUUGCGACUAGAUAAGUUUAUAUUUACAAUGUGGUGAGCUUAAGCUUAAUCCACCUAAUAAUCCAUUAUUUGAGCUCAAACAGCAUGCGUUAGAAGUAAUUUUAAAGCAUGAAGCCUGUUAAACUAGAGCUAGAUAUUUAUGAACAAUGUAAUGUGAAUUCACGUUUGAAAUGUUAAUAACAAGUAGAAAAUUUUUCCGUAAUUUUCUUAAUGGGUCGAAAUAGUUAUUAUCAUAUAGUGAAGUUCUAAGAAUAUCGUAAAUGUGUAAAUAUAAAAACUAGGUAAGCCCAAUAAUGACCAAUCAUUUUUAUUUUAUUGGAGGUUCAAUUGUGAGAUUGAAUAACCGUUAGUGGGUAGAGGAAAUUCAAAAAAGCAAAGGUCUUAUUGUAAUGAUAAGAAUAGGUUAAAUUUAACCAAUCUGAAAGGGUGCUGACUUUGAAUUAGUGUUUAUUACCUUCUAACUUAUAUUUUUUAAUAGCUAAUUUAAUCUUUUUUAGCUAAGCUUGCUCUAAUGUGAUACAGCUGCUAACAUAAUAAUUAAAGCAAAUAAAAACUAAAAAUGAUAACGAAAAAAAAAUAUGAACUUAGAUUAUACAAAACCAAGAUUAGACGUGAAAUUAAACCCCUUGGCAAGUUUACAGGGAUUAACUGAUGCCUGAAAGAAGGAAUUUUUUUGUUUCAAUUUUAACUAGUGAAACCAAUAACCUUGAGGGUAAAACCAAGAUAUAGAGUUAAACUAGAGUUUAAAAGUGACACAAAAAAAGCCACUCUGAAGGUAUUCUUCAGGAACUUAAAGAAUUUUUUCGAAUGUGGAAGUAUAGUAAUAGAUAAUAGAGAGACAAAAACUAAAAAAUAUCAUGUUACAUCUUUAUCUAAUAUUAUAGAUAAAAUUAUACCACAUUUUGAUUCUUAUCCUUGUUUAACUUCUAAAUUUCUUAAUUUUAAAGACUGGAAAGAAAUAGCUUUAAUAAUGUCGAAUAAAGACCAUUUCUUUAGCCUUAAAAAGAUUAGAGAUAUAAACUCUAAAAUGAAUAAAGCUAGAUGUUUUGAAGAUAAGUAUGAAUUCUGUAAAAAGUCUUUAGGAUUAAAUACCAAUAACGAAGUUACUUAUAGUUUACCUAGUUAUUGGUUACAAGCCUUUAUAGACGGGGAAGGUAUGUUCUAUAACUACAUCUCUGAAAAGAAAAGUAGAAAUAUAACAUAUUUAGGAGUAGAUUCUUCUUUAGAAAUAGCUCAAAAUAGUCAUGAUGUAGCAGUGUUACUUGCAAUUAAGAAAUUCUUUGGUAAAGGAUACUUAAAACCUAAAUAUAAUAUAUCUGAAUUAUCGGAAUGUAAAAAUUCUAGAUCUGUAAAUAGAUUUAUACUUAGAGAUACUGAAAAGAUAAAAGAGUUUUUUUAUAAAUACCCUUUAUUAACUAGAAAAUCUUUAGAUUUUGAAGAUUGGAAAAAAAUAGUUGAUCUAAAAAAUAUUGGGGCACAUAAGACUCCAGAAGGAUUAAAAUUAAUAAGUGAAAUUAAAGAAAAAAUGAAUUCUAAACGAGAUCAAUAAAUUUAAGUUUUAAUAAUCCCUGUGAAAUUAGUCACUAAUCAAUAUUAGGCAGAUGAUAAAUGCUUGAGCUGUAUGCGGUGAAAGUCGCACGUACAGUUCUUAGAGGUAGUUAGUGUAGUAAUUCGCUUAAAAGUUCUAU